GGGCCCGCACAAGCGGUGGAGUAUGUGGUUUAAUUCGAUGCAACGCGAAGAACCUUACCAGGGUUUGACAUCCUGCGAAUCUCUUGGAAACAGGAGAGUGCCUUCGGGAACGCAGUGACAGGUGGUGCAUGGCUGUCGUCAGCUCGUGUCGUGAGAUGUUGGGUUAAGUCCCGCAACGAGCGCAACCCACGUCUUUAGUUGCCAGCAUUUAGUUGGGCACUCUGGAGAAACUGCCCGUGAUAAGCGGGAGGAAGGUGUGGAUGACGUCAAGUCCUCAUGGCCCUUACGGGUUGGGCUACACACGUGCUACAAUGGCAGUGACAAUGGGUUAAUCCCCAAAAACUGUCUCAGUUCAGAUCGUAGGCUGCAACUCGCCUACGUGAAGGCGGAAUCGCUAGUAAUCG
This 404-nucleotide ribosomal RNA is filed under the name uncultured bacterium. RNAcentral describes it as "bacterial SSU rRNA". It matches the Rfam family "Bacterial small subunit ribosomal RNA", at positions 917 to 1344 of the family's 1533-position model. The record is from RNAcentral.